Diachasmimorpha longicaudata is the source of this 825-nucleotide long non-coding RNA. RefSeq lists it as uncharacterized. The transcript is spliced from 4 exons. The record is from RefSeq and is a predicted model, not a curated record. Lineage: Eukaryota; Metazoa; Arthropoda; Insecta; Hymenoptera; Braconidae.
AAAGGAUUGGCACGUCCGCGAAGUGAAAAUUCAGGUAAAAGAAUUACGAGUAAGAACGGAACGAUUGUACAUGGCAGUAGUUGAGAGGUGAAAAGAAGAAUCAAUCCCAAUGGAUGGAUCCCCCGGUCCGGAAGUGCGGUUAACUCCAGAGAAAGCGACAUGAAAAUUUCACUUUCAUGAAAAAGACUCACCAGCCCCCGGUGAUUUAUAGACGAAGGUCCUGCAAGAAGACUCAUCUCUGCCGGUAGAAAACACGAGUAAUCCGAAUGGAGCCAGGCACGCGAUGCCAUUUGCCAAGAGAGGAUCAGACCUUUACCGGUGCAACGUGUUUCGCUCUAGUUUUACCAACGUCGGGUCUCAAGGACUUACGAGGGAAAGGUAUAAACAUAAAAUGCAGAGGUGCGUUGCCAUGCAUCCCCGAAUGUUGGACUGACUUACUCCGAAUUUAUAAGUUCAUUAUUCUUCAAACUUACAAUUCCAAAAACUGAUAGCAGAGACUGAAAAUGAAUUGAUGAAGAAGAAUUUAAUGCCAGUCAUGAUGAAUUAUUUAUUUAUCAAGUAAUAUCGCACUCCAAAAUAACGUGUAAAUACAAGAACGACUUUGGAAUACCCACUACAAAUUCACAUUGCAAUUACAAGAUGAGACGCUUAGUGAAAGUAGGAUAUGUACGACUUGUGCCUCUAGAAGUACUUCCACAGAGGCACCAUAUAGUCACUGGAGAUGCUCCCCGUCGCUGUUUUUAUUAGCACUCAGUGGUAAUAAAGUUGCAGAAAUAAAAAAAAUCGCAUACAGAGAGAAAUGUACACUUCUUAUGAUCAAAGCCG